This 677-nucleotide ribosomal RNA is filed under the name uncultured Lachnospiraceae bacterium. Its description in RNAcentral is "bacterial SSU rRNA". It matches the Rfam family "Bacterial small subunit ribosomal RNA", at positions 77 to 768 of the family's 1533-position model. Lineage: Bacteria; Bacillati; Bacillota; Clostridia; Lachnospirales; Lachnospiraceae. The record is from RNAcentral.
AGCUUGCUUUUCUUGACUUAGUGGCGAACGGGUGAGUAACGCGUGAGUAACCUGCCCUGGAGUGGGGGACAACAGUUGGAAACGACUGCUAAUACCGCAUAAGCCCACGGAUCCGCAUGGAUCUGCGGGAAAAGGAUUUAUUCGCUUCAGGAUGGACUCGCGUCCAAUUAGCUAGUUGGUGAGGUAACGGCCCACCAAGGCGACGAUUGGUAGCCGGACUGAGAGGUUGAACGGCCACAUUGGGACUGAGACACGGCCCAGACUCCUACGGGAGGCAGCAGUGGGGGAUAUUGCACAAUGGGGGAAACCCUGAUGCAGCGACGCCGCGUGGAGGAAGAAGGUUUUCGGAUUGUAAACUCCUGUCGUUAGGGACGAUAAUGACGGUACCUAACAAGAAAGCACCGGCUAACUACGUGCCAGCAGCCGCGGUAAAACGUAGGGUGCAAGCGUUGUCCGGAAUUACUGGGUGUAAAGGGAGCGCAGGCGGACCGGCAAGUUGGAAGUGAAAACUAUGGGCUCAACCCAUAAAUUGCUUUCAAAACUGCUGGCCUUGAGUAGUGCAGAGGUAGGUGGAAUUCCCGGUGUAGCGGUGGAAUGCGUAGAUAUCGGGAGGAACACCAGUGGCGAAGGCGACCUCCUGGGCACCAACUGACGCUGAGGCUCGAAAGCAUGGGUAG